UAUUCCAUGGAACGCAGGAGGCUGAGGAAAGAUGUUUAGAACAAGGGUUCCCAACAUGGGGUAAAUUUACUCUACCCAGGGGGUAUAUUUGUUGAUUCUGGAUUUGUACAUAUUUUUGCUCAUUGAUGGACUGUG
Amblyraja radiata (thorny skate) is the source of this 135-nucleotide long non-coding RNA. RefSeq lists it as uncharacterized. The transcript has 3 exons. The record is from RefSeq and is a predicted model, not a curated record. NCBI's taxonomy places the organism in Eukaryota, Metazoa, Chordata, Chondrichthyes, Rajiformes, Rajidae.